UUGCAGUUAAAAAGCUCGUAGUUGGAUUUCUGCGGGGGCGGGGCGGCCGACCUCAACUCGAGGUUCGAGCUAGCACUUCCCCUGCAUCCUGCCGCGAACCGUGCUACCAUUAGUUUGGUGGCGCUGGGGAUCGGCUCGUUUACUUUGAGAAAAAUAGAGUGUUCAAAGCAGGCCACACGCCUUGAAUAAGUUAGCAUGGAAUAAUGAUAAAGGACUUCGGUUCUAUUUUGUUGGUGUUCGGGACUGAAGUAAUGAUUGAUAGGGACAGUUGGGGCGGUCAGUAUUCCAAAGCGAGAGGUGAAAUUCUUAGACCUUCGGAAGACUAACAGCUGCGAAAGCGUUCCGCAAGGAUGUUCCCUUUGAUCAAGAACGAAAGUUGGGGGAUCGAAGACGAUCAGAUACCGUCGUAGUCUCAACCAUAAACUAUACCAGCUAGGGAUCGGCCAACGUUUACUUAUAUCGACUUGGUCGGCACCUUAUGAGAAAUCAAAGCAUCUGGG
This 500-nucleotide ribosomal RNA is filed under the name uncultured marine eukaryote. RNAcentral's name for it is "bacterial SSU rRNA". It matches the Rfam family "Eukaryotic small subunit ribosomal RNA", at positions 613 to 1111 of the family's 1831-position model. The record is from RNAcentral.